This 215-nucleotide ribosomal RNA is filed under the name Salmonella enterica subsp. enterica. RNAcentral's name for it is "partial 16S ribosomal RNA". It matches the Rfam family "Bacterial small subunit ribosomal RNA", at positions 1 to 215 of the family's 1533-position model. Lineage: Bacteria; Pseudomonadati; Pseudomonadota; Gammaproteobacteria; Enterobacterales; Enterobacteriaceae. RNAcentral also lists the same sequence under 1 other name. The record is from RNAcentral.
AAAUUGAAGAGUUUGAUCAUGGCUCAGAUUGAACGCUGGCGGCAGGCCUAACACAUGCAAGUCGAACGGUAACAGGAAGCAGCUUGCUGCUUUGCUGACGAGUGGCGGACGGGUGAGUAAUGUCUGGGAAACUGCCUGAUGGAGGGGGAUAACUACUGGAAACGGUGGCUAAUACCGCAUAAUGUCGCAAGACCAAAGAGGGGGACCUUCGGGCC